Molecule: long non-coding RNA, 6741 nt
Filed under: Prunus persica (peach)
Lineage: Eukaryota; Viridiplantae; Streptophyta; Magnoliopsida; Rosales; Rosaceae
Description: long non-coding RNA (PPER_LNC003976)
Source: RNAcentral
AGGAGUAUAUUGGGGAGAGAAAGGACUUGCUGUCAACAUGGUCAGCUGACAAAGGUGAUUGUUGAGGCAUUUUAUAGAUUCUCAAUGGAGAUGAAGAGAAUUGAGAAGGAGAUUGAGAGAAGAAAUGGUGAUCCAAAUUUGAGGAACAGAUGUGGGGCUGGAGUCUCACCCUAUGCCUACCUCAGAGGCUGGGGUUACAUGUAGAGGAGUGCCCAAUAGUAUAGCAGUGACUUUUAUCCAAAUGGUACGACAUUAUGUGUGACUUUUAUCUCAUAAUUUAGGUAGCUAGUUUAGAACCUACAAGGGAAGGGAAGCAAAGUUUUCCAAUUCCAAAUGUUGAUAAACGUAAAAGUUUAGGUUAGCUGGUCCUGGUUUGGUUUGGUCACUACCAAAAAAGGGGGCAAUAGACACCCUUUUAUCACUAACUAAUUGGUAUUGGUGACAAUUGAAUGGUUGGUCCAUGCUUUUGUUUACUUGUCACUAUUAUUUAUGACUAAUCUCUCACAUUUUAAUAUUUUGGUGACAGUUGAUUUAAGUAUAAUAAAUACUAGCUUUUUCGUACGUGCUUUCGCACUUGAAAGAGGCUUUUUAUAAAAAAAUUUAAAUUUAUUUUAGAAUUAAAAAAGAUAAUGCUUAGUUGUGUUCCAUAAAAAUAGAAUCAAUUAUCUUAUUUUUCUUUUAAUUUUAAUUUUAAUUUUUUUUAUUAUGAAAAAGUAUGAAUUUACCAUAUUAUUUUAUUUAAUUACAACGAUAGUGGACACUUCAAUUGCAGGGAUGGAAGACACUUCACUUGCAUCAUUCGUUUGUAUGUUUGGAUCAGAGGAGUGCUUGGAUUAGAAAGUACUAGCUAUAGGUCUUCUUAAGCGUGUAUGUAUUAUUGUUUGUAGAGGAUUGUACAAAUUUUUUAUUCAUUAGGAAAAUAUUGUACUACUUAAUUUAAUUACCAUCAUGUAUCAAUUGAAUAUUUAUAUUUAAUUAAAUAAUAAUAUUAGAGGCCUUUUUUACACAUGAAGUGAAUUACUAAGGAAUUAUUAUUAUUAUUUUAUCAAAAAAAAAAGAAAAAAAAGAAAAAGAAUUACUAUUAUUAUGCCAUUAAAGUAUAUCAAAAGGAAAUCGUAAUUAUUUAAAACAUAUAUAAUUCAGAAAAUUAUUAAACUAAUUAAAGAUAAAAAUAAUAAUAAAAUAUAAGUAUAAAGGUAGCUGAAAAGUCAAUAUAUAAUUUGUCACUUUCUUUAUUAAUGAUGACAAAGAUCAUUACCCUCACAAUUCUCACCAACUCAAAAUUUGUAGCUGCAUCGGAACUGAAGCCUUUAUCAAACGUGACUAAUACUUUCAAAAGUCACCCAAAAAAAUGUGGCUAUUGCUGAUUUUUUUUUUGUAGCGGGUGUAUGUCAUGCAUGAAGAUGAAGAUAAAUAAUAAAAAACACGGUAUUCUCUUUUUCCGCUAAUAUACGUCUUUUGAUCCUAAUGACUUGUCACCACCGACAUUGACGUAUGGUUGUCUGUCUUUAACAAGAUGUACUGAGGGCUGACGACGCAGUUGCUUCCAAUUAAAAAGGACGUGGGCCAAGCGGGCGGUUGUUGAGGAGGACGAUAAAAACUGAGAUGAAUGAAGGGUCUACAAACAAACUGGAAAGGAAGGAAUUGAACUUACGUACUCUUUUUUUAUGUAUACAUUGAUAUUUUUUUGGGUUUGUUUAUAGAAAUUAAAUGGUGUAUAAUUUAUCUGUAUCAUUAAUGCUAAGAAUGAAUAAAUGACUAAAUAUCUCUAUUUUUUUUUUUACCGCUGGAUCAUUCUAGGCUAGCAUGCAGCAACAACCGAAACGAUAAAAAUGUGAAUCAAUUGGCCUAAUCACAACGAAUUCCCAAAUAACACAUUUCAAAUGAGAUCAGAGAGUCUGAAACCAAGAAAAUGAAGAAAGAUGGUACAAAGAUACUAUAAAACAAAGUACGUCUACGCCACACAACAUUGGCAUCCCUAAAAACGUGUACACCUACCAUCCCAAAUCACGCCAAAAGUGAAUGAAAAGAGCUCUAAUUUGUUAUUUUCUCCUCUUUUGAAAUCAGCUAUAUAUAGGAAUAGAAGUGUUGAAUGAAAUUCAUGUGAAGCAGAGCAAGCAAAAAUUGCCAGAAGAAAGAACAUAUUAUAUAUAUAUAUAGCUAUGACAACUACUAUGAUUAGCUCAUUUAAUUCAAAGGCACUGAAUUGUGUUCUUUGGAACACGCCAAAGUUUUCUUCUCCUCCUCCCAAUUUGUUUUCUUCAACAAAGAGAAGGAGAUUGCAACAAAUUAGGAAGAAGAAGGCUCAUGAUCAGGCCACGGUAAGUUCAUUAAUAUCCUCUACUGCCGUUUAUCAGACGACGACGCUGCCCGUUGAACUCACUGCGCUGGUGACUGUAAGGAAAAGUCUGAAGCUAAGCAUCCAAGACAUGAUGCUUCAUUGGUUUGGCAAUCAUGAUCAUUUCUCCCACCACAAGGAAAAGGAGAAGUGUCUUGUUUUACAGCUUGUUAGUACUGAAACUGAAGCAGGUAAAGCUAUACAACUACUAUUAUCGUAUUAUUAUUAUUUUAUCAAUAUUAAUUUUAUUUUUUUAUUUUACAAUAUUUCUCUUUGGUGCCAUAUCUUUCUUCUUUGACUUUUCUUCUUAAUGUCGCAUUGAAACAUAAGAGUCCACGAAGCCAAAGCUGAGCAAUGAAGCUAUAUUGGAUUGGUCCAAGGAUCUAAACCUAAACCUAAUCCUCGGUGCUGGGAAAACCAGUUACGAAGUUCAAUUUGAGGUGGAUCCUAAAUUUGGGAUGCCAGGAGCCAUCACAGUGAGUAACAAGUACGAGAAGGAGUUGUAUUUGGAUAGCAUCAACGUUGAAGGCGUCGUGCAUAUUGGCUGCAACUCUUGGAUUCAACCAGACAAAGAUUCCUCGGAAAAAAGAAUCUUCUUCUCUACUAAGGUCCAUGACAGAGAUUAUAUAUGUAUAUGUAUAUAUAUAUAUAUAUAAGGAUCCUCGAGCCUCUUUUAGGAUCCAUGCAUCAUUUACCCGUAUUUUGUGAAAUCUAAGCCACUCAAAUAGUCUAACCACUUAACAUACAUCAAUUUUACGUUUUAUGUAUUUUUUUUUUCCAGAACUAGUGUUUCUUCGUGUUUAAGAUGCUUUAGUUUAUGAAUUUUUGAAGUUCAAAGGUUUGCAGAUUGACUUGUGAAGUAUGUGAAGCAUCUUCAAGAAUGGAUGACGAUGCUGGAGGAACAAGCAGCGAAGAAAACCGUGGAAGUAGUGGUGUUUGUGAAGAGCACUCAGUACUCUGCAAAUGAUGAUAUCUUUUCAUCGGAUGAAGAAAGAAAAAAAUCCCAAGCACAUUAACUUUAAUGUUAACAUCAGCUUGGAAAGAAAAAACACUUAGAGCAACUCCAUCUAUUUGCCCUUUGCCAUGGCAAGGGGGGAACUAGGGCAGCUACUAUUCACAUGAAUAGUAGCUGCCCCUUGUAAAAAGCAAUGUGUGUGGUUCCACCCGUUGUCAUGGCAAAUGGCAAAUACUAUUCAUUUUUUUGUUUUUUUUCACAAAUUUGUUUAUCUAAACAAUUAAUUUGGAUAAUAUUUUCUAAUAAGAUUUUUGGGUAUUUUUUGGUAUGUUUUAAAAAAAAUUUUGAAUUUUUUUCAUAAUUUUAUAGCAAAAAAAAGCCCAGUCGUUGGAUUGGAGGAGAGCAAGCGAUCGGAGCCCCCAUACGACAACACAUGUCCUCUAGCUGUUGGUGGAGCGCAGGGCGGACGUCAUCGCAUGCUGACAUCAUCCCCCCCUGGGGCUAGCUGCCUUCGGGCCAGCCCGUCUUCGUGGGUCUCACUCCCAACCCGGGCUUGGGCUCCUCGCUGGAACUGGGUUCUUUUUUUCUCCCCCCAGACAGAGGCUGGGCUCCUCACUGGAGUUGCUCUUAUAUUGAUAUUGUGUCAUAUGCUAAGUUGUUAGAUUAUUUAAGUGGCUUAGAUUUUACGAAAUACGGGUAAAUGCACGGAUGCUAAAUGUAGAGGUUCAAGAUCCAUAAUUAAGUUAUAUAAAUUAGUCAUGGCCAUGUUUUUGCAGGCAUACUUACCUGAUGAGACACCAGCAGGGCUGAAAGAGCUGAGAGAAAUGGAGCUAAGGCAGCUAAGGGGUGAUGGGACGGGACUCAGAUUACCAUCCGAUAGAACAUACGACUAUGACACUUACAAUGACAUUGGAAAUCCAGAUGCGGGGAUUGAAUACAUACGAUCUACCCUUGGGGGCAAUACACACCCACACCCUAGACGUUGUCGAACUGGUCGACCACCAACCAGCACAGGUCACUAAGUUAGAUAGUGAGAGUACAUUGUUAAUAUUUUGUCAUAAAAUAGAUAUAUAUCGACAAUGUAUUGAAUACUGUAGAUUGAUAUACGUUAUUAAUACGGGUAUUCAAUUGGGUUUCUGCAAUUAGUUAUAAUAUCCAUCCAUGUGAAUGCAAUGCAACAGAUGAUAAUAUGGAGUCACCGGAAAAUGAAUUCAAGAGAAUUUACGUGCCAAGAGAUGAAGAGUUUGAGGAGGCGAAGCAAGGAGCUCUUGACGUUGGAAAGUUGAAGGGGAUUCUCCGGCAUAUAAUUCCUACCCUUACAAUUAUUGCUAGUAGGGACAGCAAUGUUUUCAAGGGGUAUGUAGAUACCAACUGUCUCUAUAGUACUGACAUGUCUUUACCCAAGAUUUUGAACAAAGUCCAGGAAUUCCUCAAAUUUGACCCUCCAAAGUUAAUCUCUGGUAAGUGGCAAGCAAGCGUCAUAAGAUCUCAUUACUUUAUUAUUAUUGGAGUAAGAGAACGGAACCAUGGAUGUGUAUAAAAUCUCACUCACAAUCCAAUUAUUUCAGGGCUUAUAUCUUGUUGUUUGCCAGAUGAAGAAUUUGGGCGUCAAGCAAUUGCCGGCGUAAACCCUAUGAGCAUACAAAAGCUCACGGUUUUCCCACCUGUUAGCAAAUUGGAUCCCUCCAUUUAUAGUCCACAAGAGUCGGCACUCAAGGAGGAGCAUAUAAUAGGCCAUCUCAAUGGCAUGUCAAUACAGCAGGUAUAUAUGUCUAGAAAACAAAAGCCUUUAAAAGACAAAUACAUAAAACGGAGGAAAGGUUCCCUAAAAUGCAUAGAUGAUAUUUGUGGGUUUUGCAGGCAUUAGAAGAAAACAAGCUGUUCAUACUAGACUAUCAUGACAUUUUCCUUCCAUAUCUGGACCAAAUAAAUGCUUUGGAUGAUCGAAGAGCUUACGGAACCCGUACAAUUUUGUUCUUGACCCCAUUGGGAACCUUGAAGCCCAUUUCUAUUGAACUCAGCUUCCCUCCAACCAAUUCGGAUUCACCAUCCAAGCAGGUUCUCACUCCUCCAGUUGAUUUUACAACAAAUUGGCUUUGGCAGAUUGGCAAAGCCCACGUCUCGUCCAACGAUGCCUGUGCUCAUCAACUGAUUCAUCAUUGGUAUGCACACCAGUUUCUAUAAUUGUUGUUAAGGUGCUGUUUUCAUCUAAGCUUGAUGAUAAACUUGUUUUCCUGUAACCAAUAAGGCAAAAUUCCAAUGUAUGAAACAGGUUACGCACCCAUGCCUGCAUGGAACCACUUAUAAUAGCAGCCCACCGGCAGCUGAGUGUGAUGCACCCUAUCUACAAGCUUCUCAAUCCUCACAUGCGCUACACCUUGAAGAUAAAUGCAUUGGCCCGCCAAUUUCUCAUCAAUGCUGGAGGCGUAAUCGAGUCGAAUUUCACUGCUGGUAAAUAUUGCAUGGAGAUGAGUUGUGCGGCUUAUCGAGAUUGGUGGCGCUUUGACCUUGAGGGCCUUCCUGCAGAUCUCCUUAGAAGGUUUCAGAAAGCUCUUAAUCUAUAUACUAUCAGGAUUCAGAACUAUAUUAUAAAAGUUUAUUAACUUUAUCUUCAUUUCUACACAGAGGCAUGGCAGUACCAGACUCUACUCAAGUCCAUGGGAUAAGACUGGUAAUUGAAGACUACCCUUAUGCAACAGAUGGACUCCUCAUAUGGUCAGCAAUUGAGACAUUGGUCCGAACCUAUGUCAAUUACUACUAUCCUGAUGCAAGUGCGGUUAAUUUUGAUACAGAACUGCAGGCCUGGUACAAUGAGUCAAUCAAUUUAGGCCAUGCUGAUCUUCGCCAUGCUAGCUGGUGGCCUAAACUCUCUACUCCAGAUGAUCUUACAUCCAUUCUCACCACCAUCAUUUGGGUCACAUCGGCACAGCAUGCUGCCUUGAACAAUGGGCAGUAUCCAUAUGGCGGGUAUGUCCCGACCCGCUCACCACACAUGCGGAGACUACUGCCAGAGGAGCAUGACCCAGAGUAUACUACUUUCAUGCAGGAUCCACAGAAAUACUUCCUAUCAUCAUUCCCCAGUUUACUCGAAGCAACAAAGUACAUGGCUGCAAUAGACAUCAUUUCAGCACACUCACCGGAUGAGGAGUAUAUUGGGGACAGAAAGGACUUGUCAACCUGGUCAGCUGACACAGUGAUUAUUGAGGCGUUCUACAGAUUUUCUAUGGAGAUGAGGAGGAUAGAAAAAGAGAUUGAACGAAGAAAUACUGAUUCAAACCUUAGGAACAGAUGUGGGGCUGGGGUUUCCCCAUACGAGUUGCUCAUGCCAAGCUCAGAACCUGGGGUUACAUGUAGAGGAGUGCCCAAUAGUAUAUCAAUCUGAGUCAAUUUGACACAAAAGUUGGCUAUGAGCCUAAAUCAACCGGAAUUUCUAAACUUGGCACUGAGC